CUCUGGAUGGUGCUCCCAGGAGAGUGGACAGAGGACAGGGAGGAGUUCCUGGCAGGAUCCUUGUCACAUCACCAACCCCACCCACAAACCGGGAGAGAGGAUGAACUCAUUUUCAUUUUGUGAGAGUUGGAGCUGAGAAAGUGGAGCCCCGGUCAGAUCUCCCAGAAGGCUGAGAGGUGAAGGAUGGGUGGGGGGCUGACCAGCAUGGAGGCCUAGCCUCCAUGUUCCUAAGCCCCAGCUCCCCUGGGCCAGGCAGGCAAUAAACAUUGAAGGCAGGAGAGUCAGGCCUAUGGAAGGCAGGCACAUGAAAGGGGUGGCUGCUGCAGAAUGUGGGGGGCACUCGUGGCCUCUGGGCCCCUGGUAGGGUGGUGGCUUAGGAGACCUAGUGGUUCAGGAGUUGCUAGAUGAGCGGAACCCUUUUACCCAGCAUGUAUACACAUAAUCAGGCACACACCACCAGUCACAGACACAUACACAAUCACACACAACCACACAGUCAUGCACGCACAAUCAUAUGCAUAAGUUAAAUGCUAUAAGGGGCUGAGGGAAAGCCAGUGUGGGUACUAGGACUGAAGGGACACAGUGGGGGUCAGGCAUUAGCACAGAAGGUUAAGUGCACAUGGCACAAAGCACAAGGACUGGCAUAAGGAUCCUGGUUCGAGCCCCUGGCUCCCCACCUGCAGGGGGUUGCUUCAUGAGCGGUGAAGCAGGUCUGCAGGUGUCUCUCUCUUCCCUCUCUGUCUUCCCUUUAUCUCUCCAUUUCUCUAACCUAUCCAACAACAACAACAACAAUAAAAACAAUAAAACAAUAAGGAUAACAAAAGGGAAAAAAAUAACCUCCAGGAGUAGUGGAUUUAUAGUGCAGGCAUUCAGCCUCAGUGAUAACCCUGGAGGCAAAAAAAAAAAAAAAAAGGGACACAGUGAUCCCAGUGGCUGAUGAUACAUAUCCUAGAUGUCCUAAGCACCAUUUAUUAGGUCCUGCCUGGUGACCUUCUGUGACCUUGUAGCAGAAUGAAAAUGACCCAAGGUGGUUCUAGAGAGAAGAAUGAAUGGAAAGAGACACACUAGUGGACCCAAGCAUAGGGCUACUGAGACAGAGAAACUGGAAUGGAAGGGGAAGAUACAGAGAGAAAAAGAGAUCUACAGCACUUCCUUACCCUUGUGAAGCUUUCCCCCACCACUUGAGACUUGAACCUGGGUAAGGACCCAGGAAGCCAGCCGUUCCCCAAGGAAGAGCAUGAUUUAAGACAGGCCUGCAGAAACCAGCUCCACAGGCUGAGCAUCAGAACCUCUAUCUCCCAGAUAAACGAGGGCAGACGAUCACAAGAGAGUGGUCAGGCCCAGGAGGAACCAGCCUCAGGCAGCUGCAGAGGUAAUGAGCCUGGCUACAAGGUUGACACCUGGACUAAUAGGCAGUUAGUGA
This is a long non-coding RNA of Erinaceus europaeus (western European hedgehog), 1423 nucleotides long. RefSeq lists it as uncharacterized. The transcript is spliced from 3 exons. Lineage: Eukaryota; Metazoa; Chordata; Mammalia; Eulipotyphla; Erinaceidae. The record is from RefSeq and is a predicted model, not a curated record.